AUGGCUCGGAGCAACCCGGGGCUUCUCCUGGGGCUCCUGCUGCUGCGGCUCAAUUGGUGCUUGGCCGUGGAUGGCGGAGGCGCGGAGGAAGGGGGCGGCGUGUUUCCGGUGGUGGUGAGCACCUGGCCGUUCCGGGAGGCGGUCAGGGCGGCGUGGGACGUGGUGAAAACCGGCGGCGCAGGGGGGUCGGCUGUGGAUGCCGUCGUCGCUGGCUGCUCCGCCUGCGAGGAGCUCCGCUGCGAUGGCACAGUUGGUCCAGGUGGAAGUCCAGAUGAGAAGGGUGAAACUACCUUAGAUGCUCUUAUCAUGAAUGGGAAAACAAUGGAAAUUGGAGCUGUGGCUGCCAUGAGAUAUGUGAAGGAUGCAAUUAUGGCAGCAAAGUUGGUCAUGGAGCACACUGGGCAUACUCUUCUUGUUGGAGAGAAGGCAACAUCCUUUGCAAUUUCAAUGGGUCUUGCAGGACCAACUAACCUGAGUUCACCAGAGUCAAUUGAGAAAUGGUCAAAUUGGAGACAGAAUAAUUGCCAACCUAACUUUUGGAAAAAUGUUGCUCCUGCUGGCAACUGUGGUCCAUACCAUCCUAUAAAUAUACCUAAGGACCCUGUUAAAAGUGCUGUAUGGGAGAAUCAAGGAAUCACCUGUCAGGAAUGGCUCCAAAAUGAUAAUUUACUAGAACCGACAAGCUCCCAUUUCAACUCUGUUAAUCGUCACAACCAUGACACAAUCUCUAUGGCCGUCAUUGACAAGAUGGGUCAUGUAGCAGUUGGCACAUCAACUAAUGGUGCCACGUUCAAAAUUCCAGGAAGGAAUACUACUCGAAGCUUCCUUUUGAUAUGUAUAUCAACUUCUGAAAUACUCUGGUAUUGUAUAUCGACUUCUGAAAUACUCUGGGUAGGUGAUGGACCAAUACCAGGAUCUUCUGCAUAUGGUGAUGAUGAAGUUGGGGCUUGUGGAGCUACUGGUGACGGUGAUAUUAUGAUGCGCUUCCUUCCAUGUUAUCAAGUGGUGGAGAGCAUGCGACUUGGAAUGGAGCCUCGAGAUGCUGCCGUGGAUGCGAUAUCCAGAAUUGCUCGUAAGUACCCAGAUUUUGUUGGUGCUGUAUUUGCGCUUAACAAGAAAGGAGUGCAUGCUGGGGCGUGCCAUGGAUGGACCUUUCAGUAUUCUGUCAGGAAUUCCAGCAUGCAGGAUGUGGAGGUCAUCACAGUAACACCUUAA
Molecule: ribosomal RNA, 1215 nt
Filed under: Triticum aestivum (bread wheat)
Lineage: Eukaryota; Viridiplantae; Streptophyta; Magnoliopsida; Poales; Poaceae
Description: partial small subunit ribosomal RNA
Source: RNAcentral